AUCACGUUGCAUUGGUAAGAUAUUAUGCCCGCUUUCCAAAAAAACUGGGAACGAGGUCAACUCAUGACUUAAGUGACCGUUCAAAUAGUUUUUUCCCAGGUUUUUUUAGUUCCCAGUUGUUUUGAACCCACAGAAGUCAGAAGUAGAAGAUUUCCGAGUUCCCAGUUUCCAGUAGUUUUUAACGCGGCAUUUUAAAAAACAAGUUUAGACAUGGCAUAAAAAACACGAGCUCGAGGAUCGAGCAGGGCUAGAGGCGAGACUUUCAAUUUGAGUUUUCAGCAGCGGUUAAGUAAGUGCAAGCUAGCAUCUUUAGCUAACUAGCUGUCAAGCCGCUAGAUAACCUAAACUGACAUUGUUGUUAGCUAGAUGUUAUUUGCAUAGGUUGUCCAGUAUUCUUCAGAACCUUCAGUCUAUAUGCAGAACCCUUAGCUGGCUAGUAGUAGUCUGUUUGACAUCCUAUACUUAACUCUUAUAACACAGGUGAAUAUUUCAACCCUGUAAGAGGAUAAUCAUUUAUGCUAUUGCCUUCAUAUAGCAAACUCCUGUCCUCCACAGUCAAGAUGCCAGUCAUUUGUAGCAGCUGUGCUGAGAAGAGUGCAGUGCUGAAACGUCCAAAGCCGGCCCAUUCCUUGUGCAAAGAGUCCCUCUUCUGGGCCUUUGAGGAGGAGGUGCAUCAGACAAUAUCAGCGCAGCUCUUCAAAGAUGGAGAGACUGUGGGCAUUGGUGCCUCUGGCUGGAAGGAUUCCACUGUGCUGGCCACCUCAGUAAACAAUGGACCUGAUCGGACAGCUCAGAGCUUCAGCUCUUUUCUGUCCAUAAAAAACAAAUGGAUUGGUGGAAGAGGCACACCUCAUGAAGGUCCUAAAUGAGCGCUAUAACUAUGGCCUGAAACGAAUGCUGCUCUCAGUGGACGAGGGCAUGACAGGUAACCGUGAUGACUCCUUGGAGACUGAAGAGAACCAGCAGUAGUAUGAACUACCUCUGAAGAGUGUGUCCUAUGAGGAGCUGUAUGGCUGGACCAUGGAUGCCAUAGUGAAGCAGAUCGGACUGAAGAACAAUUGCUCUUUCUGUGGAGUGUUCCCGAAGACAGGCUCUGGACAGGGGAGCCAUGAUGCUGAAGGUUGAUAAGAUAUGUGCAGCCAGGCGCUGUGUAAGUCCUGUGUUCUGCUGGAGGGCCUGAACCGUGACCUGCCUAGACUAGGAAUCGGCAAGCACCACCGCCUCCACAGGAAGAUCCUCUCACAGCAGCCUCUGACCCAGGCACAGGAGAGGAAACUCAAGGCUGUGGACUUCUGAGAGGCGUAUAGGCAGAACGUCUCAGGAUCACCUCCACUGUCUGUGAAGUUACACCUUGAAAUGAGUAACCGAAGAUGCCUCAACCAGAUGUGGAGUUGUUUUUAAGUUUUAGCUUGGAAUUGCCAGUCAGUUGCCUCUAACAAAAGAGUAGCCAGCAUUUCCCCUUUUCAGCCACUGAACAAUAGGGAAGUGGUAAUGAUUAAAAAGGUCCUCCUUGCAGUUGCUGGAAUCUAAAUUCAAUUCACAUUUGGCUGUAUGGUCAGUUAAUUAUGAAACCUCUGACAGCUGAUGAUUGAAAUACAAGUAUUUUGUGCGGUAUCUAUAAUAAAGCUAUUCUACAUUUGCAUGGCCUCUUCUGAUUUUAGUAUGAACAAUUCCUCAAGAGAAUUCUUACACAUACUUACACAUUAGAAUUACUGAUAGGUGAGAAUUGUCUGUUAAUUGAAUGAUUAGAAUAUUCCGCCCUGAAACAUAUAAUUGUAUGGAAUUGAUUAGAAUGUAUAAAAUCAUAAUCAAGAAAUGUGUUGUCCUAGUCAGAAUUAGGGUAAAACAAUGUCUUUAUGGUAUUUUAAACACAGACUGUCUGAGCUUGGUGCCGACCUGACUAGAGAUUUGGGAGAGAACGGGUAGGACAAGGACAAGGUCGCUAUCUCUGUUGGCUGGGUAGUGAGACAGACAGUGUGUGCGUCUUUGUGUGUGCGUAUGGCUGUGUGAAUGUGUGGGAUUGAGAAGUCAGUAUAAAAUGAAUUGUUUUGUAUUCUUGAACGUUCCCGUGAAUAAACAUUUUUUACUAUUUA
Molecule: long non-coding RNA, 2093 nt
Organism: Oncorhynchus nerka (sockeye salmon)
Lineage: Eukaryota; Metazoa; Chordata; Actinopteri; Salmoniformes; Salmonidae
Exons: 2
Source: RefSeq, a predicted model, not a curated record